Molecule: ribosomal RNA, 441 nt
Filed under: uncultured bacterium
Lineage: Bacteria
Description: partial 16S ribosomal RNA
Rfam family: Bacterial small subunit ribosomal RNA
Source: RNAcentral
CCUACGGGAGGCAGCAGUGGGGAAUAUUGCACAAUGGGGGAAACACUGAUGCAGCAACGCCGCGUGAAGGAAGACGGUUCUCGGAUUGUAAACUUCUGUUCUUCGUGGAGAAUAAUGACGGUAGCGAAGGAGCAAGCCACGACUAACUACGUGCCAGCAGCCGCGGUAAUAGGUAGGGGGCAAGCGUUGACCGGAAUUACUGGGUGUAAAGGGAGCGCAGGCGGGAAGCCAAGUCAGCGGUGAAAACUACGGGCUUAACUUGUGGACUGCAGUUGAAACUGGUUUUCUUGAGUGCAGUAGAGGUUGGCGGAAUUCCGGGUGUAGCGGUGAAAUGCGUAGAUAUUCGGAGGAACACCGGUGGCGAAGGCGGCCAACUGGGCUUUAACUGACGCUGAGGCUCGAAAGUGUGGGGAGCAAACAGGAUUAGAUACCCUUGUAGUC